UACGUAGGGUGCGAGCGUUAAUCGGAAUUACUGGGCGUAAAGCGUGCGCAGGCGGUUGUGUAAGACAGGUGUGAAAUCCCCGGGCUUAACCUGGGAACUGCGCUUGUGACUGCACGGCUAGAGUACGGCAGAGGGGGGUGGAAUUCCACGUGUAGCAGUGAAAUGCGUAGAGAUGUGGAGGAACACCGAUGGCGAAGGCAGCCCCCUGGGCCGAUACUGACGCUCAUGCACGAAAGCGUGGGGAGCAAACAGG
This 253-nucleotide non-coding RNA is filed under the name Azoarcus taiwanensis. RNAcentral describes it as "partial 16S ribosomal RNA". It matches the Rfam family "Bacterial small subunit ribosomal RNA", at positions 524 to 776 of the family's 1533-position model. Lineage: Bacteria; Pseudomonadati; Pseudomonadota; Betaproteobacteria; Rhodocyclales; Zoogloeaceae. The record is from RNAcentral. RNAcentral also lists the same sequence under 2 other names.